Molecule: long non-coding RNA, 866 nt
Organism: Brassica napus (rape)
Lineage: Eukaryota; Viridiplantae; Streptophyta; Magnoliopsida; Brassicales; Brassicaceae
Exons: 3
Source: RefSeq, a predicted model, not a curated record
UUGUGACACGUCGGACGCCAGGUCAGAAAUUCGGCUUCAGACUGCUCGACACGUGUCCUGUAUUCUGAUCCGCAGCGUUUCAUUAAUUUUGGUCGGCUUAUGGGCUUCGUUUUUACGGGCCUUAUCUGUAUUCUCAAAAUCUUUCCAGCCCGAAUCCAGUAUGUCUAAGUUUAAACCCGUAUUAACUGUCGUUUUGCAAUUAGGAUUGAAGCGUACUUCUCCGCCGUUGGAGAUCGAGGCUUAACCUGUGCUCCAAGAGCGAGCGUUUCAUCUUCUUCCUUAUCAAUCUGCAGUGAUACCGGCCCUCUUCAACUCUUUCUUAAAUACAUACCCAUGAUCUCUCUUGAAUGCGAUCUUAACUCAUGAAAGGCGGUUGAAUUUCGACUAUAAAGGGUAUGGCUGAUGCUAUUCCACCUUUCAAGUGUGGUUGCUCUGUUAUUGGGAGGCCAGGAACAUCAGAUGCGGUGGCGAACUCAUGGGAGUCGAUAUGUUGCUGCUUGAUUCCCAGGUUGUAAAGAAAGAUGAAGAUGUGAAAGUGAUUGUAGCGGGUGAUGACGAUUGGUUGCCUCCGUCACCAAAGGUUGUAUUCGAUGAAAGCAAAGAGUUAGGUGGAGAGUCUACCAUUAAAGCUGUGAGGUAGUUUUGUAUGUGUUGAGUAUUUUUCCAUCUAUGUGCUUACCAGCUUCAUAUUAGAAGCCACGGUGUGAAGACUGCUAGCUUUAAUUUGCUCCUUGGUGAUAUCAUCCAAAUAGUUUCUGUGUUAUACUUUGAUUCUUAAGUUUUGAAUUGAAAUAUCCAAUGUAUUAGAAGCUAUGAUUUUGUAUGUAUGUGCUUCUUAUGUUUCUAUUAGAAGCUACUAUUUUUUC